AGGAAAAAGGAAGGCAUGUAGUGUCUCUUGGUGUGUUAUGACAAGGCCAAAGUCAUGUGGUUGAUCGGGAUUUUGUGACAUCGAGCUCUUCAAUCUUCCAUUUUUUGCUCGGCCAUGGCGUAUCCUUAUGGACCUCAACUCCUUAAGUGCUAGAAUUCUCAAGUGUAACUACCACACCACAUGUGAUUUUCUCGAUGCCGAACUUGGAAGGUCUCCAUCUCAGAUAUGGAGAUUGAUCAUGCAUGGGCGUGAUACUAUGAUUCAAGGACUGAUAAGAAGAGUAGGUGAUGGUACCACCACUCAUAUAUGGCGACAUAAUUGCAUUCUGGGGGCCUUUAAUAUGCAUCCUAUUGUCAGUUUGGUUACUAAUCCACCCCGGUGGUGGUUGAGCUAA
Molecule: ribosomal RNA, 394 nt
Filed under: Triticum aestivum (bread wheat)
Lineage: Eukaryota; Viridiplantae; Streptophyta; Magnoliopsida; Poales; Poaceae
Description: partial small subunit ribosomal RNA
Source: RNAcentral